UACCAUUUGGAAACAGAUGCUAAUACCGGAUAAAAGCUACUUUCGCAUGAAAGAAGUUUAAAAGGACGGCGUAAAGCUGUCGCUAAAGGAUGGGACCUGCGAUGCAUUAGCUAGUUGGUAAGGUAACGGCUUACCAAGGCGAUGAUGCAUAGCCGAGUUGAGAGACUGAUCGGGCCACAUUGGGACUGAGACACGGCCCAAAAACUCCUACGGGAGGCAGCAGUAGGGAAUCUUCCACAAUGGACGAAAGUCUGAUGGAGCAACGCCGCGUGAGUGAAGAAGGUUUUCGGAUCGUAAAAGCUCUGUUGUUGGUGAAGAAGGAUAGAGGUAGUAACUGGCCUUUAUUUGACGGUAAUCAACCAGAAAGUCACGGCUAACUACGUGCCAGCAGCCGCGGUAAU
Molecule: ribosomal RNA, 401 nt
Filed under: uncultured Lactobacillus sp.
Lineage: Bacteria; Bacillati; Bacillota; Bacilli; Lactobacillales; Lactobacillaceae
Description: bacterial SSU rRNA
Rfam family: Bacterial small subunit ribosomal RNA
Source: RNAcentral